RNAcentral lists this ribosomal RNA (253 nucleotides) under uncultured bacterium. Its description in RNAcentral is "partial 16S ribosomal RNA". It matches the Rfam family "Bacterial small subunit ribosomal RNA", at positions 524 to 776 of the family's 1533-position model. The record is from RNAcentral.
UACAGAGGUCUCAAGCGUUGUUCGGAUUCAUUGGGCGUAAAGGGUGCGUAGGUGGCGCGGAAAGUCGGGUGUGAAAUCUCAGAGCUCAACUCUGAAACUGCACUCGAUACUGCUUUGCUCGAGGACUGGAGAGGAGAUUGGAAUUCACGGUGUAGCAGUGAAAUGCGUAGAUAUCGUGAGGAAGACCAGUGGCGAAGGCGGAUCUCUGGACAGUUCCUGACGCUGAGGCGCGAAGGCCAGGGGAGCAAACGGG